This 484-nucleotide ribosomal RNA is filed under the name uncultured bacterium. RNAcentral's name for it is "partial 16S ribosomal RNA". It matches the Rfam family "Bacterial small subunit ribosomal RNA", at positions 30 to 507 of the family's 1533-position model. The record is from RNAcentral.
AUUGAACGCUGGCGGCAGGCCUAACACAUGCAAGUCGAGCGGAUGAAGGGAGCUUGCUCCUGGAUUCAGCGGCGGACGGGUGAGUAAUGCCUAGGAAUCUGCCUGGUAGUGGGGGAUAACGUCCGGAAACGGGCGCUAAUACCGCAUACGUCCUGAGGGAGAAAGUGGGGGAUCUUCGGACCUCACGCUAUCAGAUGAGCCUAGGUCGGAUUAGCUAGUUGGUGGGGUAAAGGCCUACCAAGGCGACGAUCCGUAACUGGUCUGAGAGGAUGAUCAGUCACACUGGAACUGAGACACGGUCAAGACUCCUACGGGAGGCAGCAGUGGGGAAUAUUGGACAAUGGGCGAAAGCCUGAUCCAGCCAUGCCGCGUGUGUGAAGAAGGUCUUCGGAUUGUAAAGAACUUUAAGUUGGGAGGAAGGGCAGUAAGUUAAUACCUUGCUGUUUUGACGUUACCAACAGAAUAAGCACCGGCUAACUUCGUG